AAUUAGCCCGGUUGUCUAUCUCUAGUGUUUUGGUACCUCUCUUUGUUCAGCAUGAUUCUUCAGAUAUUAUUCAAAGUGGUCAGUUUAAGAUUUCCCAAAUGGGAUUAUAUCCAAUAGCCCAAUAAAAUGUCCCUAAUUAAAGGAUUAUCAGGUAUCUAAGAACAUGAAAGAGGACUAUGGCCACUGCAGGGCCCUUGAAUUUAUACCUUUCCAUGCUUACCUUCCUUAUAAAUGACCUUGAUGGCACAGGUAAGGUCCAAGGCAUUCCAGGUGCUCUAUUCCUGAGCAUUCCCUGUUACUCAGGAGAUCCAGGGAAAAGAACAGUGGUUGGAGGAGUCACACCCUGUCCCCUCUCAAGAGUUCUGAAAAAUAUCACUGGAUGAAGAUUAUGAGGAUGAAGAGGAACUUCAGGAAAGAAUGUAGGGAUCUUCCAAAAUUUGGAGAUUGAGGCAAGAGGAAGAACUAGCAAAAGAGCUUUUAGCAGUAGCCAUAAGGUAGAAGGAAAAUGGAGAGUGGGAUAUGGCCUAAGCUAAGGGAUGAAAGCAUCUUUGGUGCUAAUUGUUGUCAAACUGUUGAGAAGUUGAGUAAGAUGAAGUCAGAAAAGUAAUCACUAUGUUUGACAAGAGGGAGGCCAUUGCUGAACUUGACAAGAAUAAUUUCUGUGAAUAGUGGCGUGAAAAAGCUCCUUUUGCCAGAACUAACAUAAAAAAGUUUAGUUAUUCAAGAAAUAGGCAUAUUCAUUGUUUGUGACAAUGAGAAAUUUAGGGGGAAAGAUCUGAUGUGGCCUCCAGAUCAUGGGAUAAGAUCUCUGGCCCGCAUUCCCAACUACUUGCCCCUGUGGAACUUAGCUAUCAAGGAGCAUCACCAAAUUCUAGGUCAGGACUCUGAGAUGUUUAAGAGACUAGGGACACAGAUUAAGGUAAUUUGGAGCAGGAAUGUACUUUCUGGGGAAUGAGAUUCUAUCAAACACAUGAAGCUGGGGUUUAUGGAAGGAUGUGGGAGGGAAUUACUACCAAGGCACUACCCUGUAAUUCCUUUUUUGAUCUGUCCCAAUUACUUUCUUCAUUCCUUCUUUCAUUUCAAAUAAACAUUUUGGACCACCCA
This 1104-nucleotide long non-coding RNA is filed under the name Vulpes vulpes (red fox). Its description in RNAcentral is "lncRNA (ENSVVUG00000026927.1)". Lineage: Eukaryota; Metazoa; Chordata; Mammalia; Carnivora; Canidae. The record is from RNAcentral.